RNAcentral lists this ribosomal RNA (256 nucleotides) under uncultured bacterium. RNAcentral describes it as "partial 16S ribosomal RNA". It matches the Rfam family "Bacterial small subunit ribosomal RNA", at positions 524 to 776 of the family's 1533-position model. The record is from RNAcentral.
GACGUAGGUGGCGAACGUUAUCCGGAAUCAUUGGGCGUAAAGGGUGCGUAGAUGGCAUGAUAAGUUAUUAGUGGGAAAUCGAGGCUCAACCUCGUGGAAGCUAGUAAUACUAUUUUGCUUGAGUACAGAAGAGGUUAACGGAACUCCAUGUGGAGCGGUAAAAUGCGUAGAUAUAUGGAAGAACACCAAUAACGGCGAAGGCAGUUAACUAUUCUGUUACUGACAUUGAGGCACGAAAGCGUGGGGAGCAAAACGG